UACGUAGGGUGCGAGCGUUAAUCGGAAUUACUGGGCGUAAAGCGUGCGCAGGCGGUUUUGUAAGUCGGGUGUGAAAUCCCCGGGCUUAACCUGGGAAUGGCAUUCGGGACUGCAAGGCUGGAGUGCGGCAGAGGAGACUGGAAUUCCUGGUGUAGCAGUGAAAUGCGCAGAUAUCAGGAGGAACACCAGUGGCGAAGGCGGUGCUCUGGGCCGGAACUGACGCUGAGGAGCGAAAGCGUGGGGAGCAAACAGG
This 253-nucleotide ribosomal RNA is filed under the name uncultured bacterium. Its description in RNAcentral is "partial 16S ribosomal RNA". It matches the Rfam family "Bacterial small subunit ribosomal RNA", at positions 524 to 776 of the family's 1533-position model. The record is from RNAcentral.